Molecule: ribosomal RNA, 495 nt
Filed under: uncultured bacterium
Lineage: Bacteria
Description: partial 16S ribosomal RNA
Rfam family: Bacterial small subunit ribosomal RNA
Source: RNAcentral
GACGAACGCUGGCGGCGUGCCUAAUACAUGCAAGUAGAACGCUGAAGGAGGAGCUUGCUUCUCUGGAUGAGUUGCGAACGGGUGAGUAACGCGUAGGUAACCUGCCUGGUAGCGGGGGAUAACUAUUGGAAACGAUAGCUAAUACCGCAUAAGAGUAGAUGUUGCAUGACAUUUGCUUAAAAGGUGCAAUUGCAUUACUACCAGAUGGACCUGCGUUGUCUUAGCUAGUUGGUGGGGUAACGGCUCACCAAGGCGACGAUACAUAGCCGACCCGGGAGGGGGGUUCGCCAAACUGGGACUGGGACACGGCCCAGACUCCUUCGGGAGGCAGCAGUAGGGGAUCUUCGGCAAUGGACGGAAGUCUGAACGAGGAACGCCGCGUGAGUGAAGGAGGUUGUCGGAUCGGAAAGCUCUGUUGUAAGAGAAGAACGAGUGUGGGAGUGGAAAGUUCACACUGUGACGGUAUCUUACCAGAAAGGGACGGCUAACUACGUG